RNAcentral lists this ribosomal RNA (410 nucleotides) under Verrucomicrobiota bacterium. RNAcentral's name for it is "Verrucomicrobia bacterium partial 16S ribosomal RNA". It matches the Rfam family "Bacterial small subunit ribosomal RNA", at positions 355 to 776 of the family's 1533-position model. The record is from RNAcentral. Lineage: Bacteria; Pseudomonadati; Verrucomicrobiota.
UGGGGAAUCUUGCACAAUGGGCGAAAGCCUGAUGCAGCGACGCCGCGUGCGGGAUUAAGGCCUUCGGGUUGUAAACCGCUUUCAGCAGGGACGAGGCCGCAAGGUGACGGUACCUGCAGAAGAAGCGCCGGUUAACUACGUGCCAGCAGCCGCGGUAAUACGUAGGGGGCAAGCGUUAUUCGGAUUCAUUGGGCGUAAAGCGCGCGUAGGCGGUUUGUUAGGUCAGGAGUUAAAUCUGGGGGCUCAAACCCUAUCCGCUCCUGAUACCGGCAGGCUUGAGUCUGGUAGGGGAAGGCGGAAUUCCAAGUGUAGCGGUGAAAUGCGCAGAUAUUUGGAAGAACACCGGUGGCGAAGGCGACUUACUGGGCUCAUUAUGACGCUGAGGAACGAAAGCGUGGGUAGCAAACAGG